This 248-nucleotide ribosomal RNA is filed under the name uncultured bacterium. RNAcentral's name for it is "partial 16S ribosomal RNA". It matches the Rfam family "Bacterial small subunit ribosomal RNA", at positions 524 to 776 of the family's 1533-position model. The record is from RNAcentral.
UACAGAGGGUGCAAACGUUGUUCGGAAUACUGGCGUAAGCGUGUGUAGGCGGCCUCGUAGGUCGGAUGUGAAAGCUCUCGGCUCAACCGGAAAGUGCAUUCGAAACCACAAGGCUUGAGUGUCGGAGAGGAAGGCGGAAUUGUCGGUGUAGAGGUGAAAUUCGUAGAUAUCGACAGGAACACCUGCGGCGAAAGCGGCCUUCUGGACGAACACUGACGCUGAGACACGAAAGCGUGGGAGCAACAGGG